AGGCUUGUACAGGUGCUGCAUGGCUGUCGUCAGCUCGUGUCGUGAGAUGUUCGGUUAAGUCCGCUACGAGCGCAACCCUCGCUGUGUGUUACAAGUGUCACACGGAACUGCCGGUCAUAAACCAGAGGAAGGUGGGGAUGACGUCAAGUCAGCAUGGCCUUUAUAUCCUGGGCUACACACACGCUACAAUGGGAAGGGACAAUAGGUUGCGAAGCCGCGAGGCGGAGCCAAUCCAGCAAAACUUCCCUCAGUUCAGAUUGCAGGCUGCAACUCGCCUGCAUGAAGUUGGAGUUGCUAGUAAACGCAGGUCAGCCAUACUGCGUUGAAUACGUUCCCGGGGCUU
This 343-nucleotide ribosomal RNA is filed under the name uncultured Anaerolineaceae bacterium. RNAcentral's name for it is "bacterial SSU rRNA". It matches the Rfam family "Bacterial small subunit ribosomal RNA", at positions 1026 to 1382 of the family's 1533-position model. The record is from RNAcentral. Lineage: Bacteria; Bacillati; Chloroflexota; Anaerolineae; Anaerolineales; Anaerolineaceae.